GAGAGAGGCUGAGGAGUACGUACCAAGGGACAGUUUGUGAGACUCUGGUAGGUCCGUGACUGAGGGCACCCUUGUGGGAUGCUGAGUGUAGCCAUCAGGAAGCUGGGUCCCAGCCAACUCAGCCUGGGCUCUGCCGUUCUCCAGUGGUCAGAUAAGAAAGAGCGGUGUGGUCCUCUAAGGGAGUGAGCGAGCCCCUCCCUCCCCACUGCUGAUAUAACAGCAUGAAAUUAAACCUAUUCCAGUCUGUGACAUCUGAUCCCUUUGACAUGACAUAGUACAACCUGUAGAGCCAGAGGUGGGGGCCAGGAAGCCCUGUUCUAGUCUCUCUGCACAACCUUGAGCCAUCUCAUCAUCUGCACAUCUGCCUGAACCUCAGUCUCCCACUCUGGACGUUGUCGGGGUGAUGGAGCAAGCAUUCAGUUAUUCUCUGCUGGAUUCUGAUGUGGUCUAAAGUCCACACUUUGUUGUGAAACACCGCAAUCUGUGAUGUACAGAACCUAUUACUGCGGCCACCCAGGAAUGCUGGGGGCAGGCCUUUUGAGAAGGUGAAUCAGCGUGUGUUAGCUCAGGGCAGAGGGCCUGGCGGUGAGACGUGAGAACAGCCAAUGUCAUGGCGGUGGGGGAGUGGACGUGAGCCAUCUGGGGCCCAGCAAACAGCAUGUUGAAAAAAACGAGGAACUCAAAGGCAGAUGAGCCUACCACGCUGGGAACAGUUGGGAGUACAUUGCUCAAGCCCCGGCCAGUUUUAUGUCACUGCUGGUGUGAAGCAGUGAACAGUGACCCAGCAUGCAUCCAGGUGGCGGGACAGAGUCAGACUCUCCAGGGCAGAGAGACUCUAAAACUGACGGCCAGGUCUUGCUCAGACUACGGGCCUGAGGGAAGAUCCAAGACUGAAACAGGGCUUGGAAUGGAGGGGGUGGAGUUGAGGAGAUCACAGAGGACCUAGGAGUGUGUGUAUCGGAGAGAGAUAGGAAACCACUGACCGUUCAGCACACAUUCAGAAUUACUGCCUGUCCCAGGGAGGGACCCACAGCUCCGGCGCUCCGUUCAGCAUCUGGAAGAGCAUAGCUCGCUGUGAGCGGCCGCCCCAGAAGACUGUAUCCCACCCAGCCAGCUCUCCUGCCUGCUUGCCUCUGCCCCACACCAGGACACUUCAUACUGUCAGAACCACUGGGUGUGUGAGCUUGUGAGAGGGUGUGUGGGCACACAUGUCCCUGUGUGGGGUGUGGAGGUCAGAGGGCAACUUGGAGGAAUUGGUUCUCUCCUUCCACCACUGGGGCCCAGGAAUCAAGCCGAGGUUCCCAGACGUGGUAGCAGCCUCCCUUACCUGUUAAACCAGUGCUUCCCAGACUUCCUAAUGCUGUGACCUCAUGCUGUGCUGACCCCCGCCCAUGACAUUAUCUCUGUUGGUAUUUUAUAACUGUAAUUUUGCUACUAUUAUGAAUCACAAUGUAAAUGUCUGUUUUCUGAUGGUC
RNAcentral lists this long non-coding RNA (1475 nucleotides) under Mus musculus (house mouse). RNAcentral describes it as "predicted gene, 19696". Lineage: Eukaryota; Metazoa; Chordata; Mammalia; Rodentia; Muridae. The record is from RNAcentral.